UGACGAGUUUGAUCCUGGCUCAGAUUGAACGCUGGCAGCACGCCUUACACAUGCAAGUCGAACGGCAGCACGGGUGCUUGCACCUGGUGGCGAGUGGCGAACGGGUGAGUAAUACAUCGGAACGUACCUUAUCGUGGGGGAUAACGCAGCGAAAGCUGUGCUAAUACCGCAUACGCCCUGAGGGGGAAAGCGGGGGAUCGAAAGACCUCGCGCGAUUAGAGCGGCCGAUGCCUGAUUAGCUUGUUGGUGGGGUAAAACGCCCACCAAGGCGACGAUCAGUAGCUGGUCUGAGAGGACGAUCAGCCACACUGGGACUGAGACACGGGCCCAGACUCCGUACGGGAGGCAGCGAGUGGGGGUAAUUUGGACAAGUGGGCGAAAGCCUGAUCCAGCCAUACCGCGUG
This 404-nucleotide ribosomal RNA is filed under the name uncultured Polynucleobacter sp. RNAcentral's name for it is "bacterial SSU rRNA". It matches the Rfam family "Bacterial small subunit ribosomal RNA", at positions 1 to 403 of the family's 1533-position model. The record is from RNAcentral. Lineage: Bacteria; Pseudomonadati; Pseudomonadota; Betaproteobacteria; Burkholderiales; Burkholderiaceae.